Molecule: ribosomal RNA, 253 nt
Filed under: uncultured bacterium
Lineage: Bacteria
Description: partial 16S ribosomal RNA
Rfam family: Bacterial small subunit ribosomal RNA
Source: RNAcentral
UACAGAGGUCCCAAGCGUUGUUCGGAUUCACUUGGCGUAAAGGGUGCUUAGGCGGUCGGGUCAGUCUGGCGUGAAAUCUCCAAGCCUAACUUGGAAACUGCGUUGGAUACUAUCCGGCUCGAGGAAUGGAGGGGAGACUGGAAUACUUGGUGUAGCAGUGAAAUGCGUAGAUAUCAAGUGGAACACCAGUGGCGAAGGCGAGUCUCUGGACAUUUCCUGACGCUGAGGCACGAAAGCCAGGGGAGCAAACGGG